RNAcentral lists this ribosomal RNA (468 nucleotides) under uncultured bacterium. Its description in RNAcentral is "partial 16S ribosomal RNA". It matches the Rfam family "Bacterial small subunit ribosomal RNA", at positions 28 to 507 of the family's 1533-position model. The record is from RNAcentral.
GACGAACGCUGGCGGCGUGCUUAACACAUGCAAGUCGAACGGAAAGGCCCUGCUUUUGUGGGGUGCUCGAGUGGCGAACGGGUGAGUAACACGUGAGUAACCUGCCCUUGACUUUGGGAUAACUUCAGGAAACUGGGGCUAAUACCGGAUAGGAGCUCCUGCUGCAUGGUGGGGGUUGGAAAGUUUCGGCGGUUGGGGAUGGACUCGCGGCUUAUCAGCUUGUUGGUGGGGUAGUGGCUUACCAAGGCUUUGACGGGUAGCCGGCCUGAGAGGGUGACCGGCCUCAAUGGGACUAAGAUACGACGCAGAAUCAUACGUGAGGCAGUGGUCGGAAAUAUUGCACAGUAAGGGGAAGCCUGAUGCAGCAACGCCGCGUGCGGGAUGAUGGCCUUCGGGUUGUGAACCGCUUUCGCCUGUGACGAGGCGUGAGUGACGGUAAUGGGUAAAAAAGCACCGGCUAACUACGUG